UACGGAGGAUGCAAGCGUUAUCCGGAUUUAUUGGGUUUAAAGGGUGCGCAGGCGGUCUGGUAAGUCAUGGGUGAAAUUUUACAGCUUAACUGUAAGCGUGCCUAUGAUACUGCUGGGCUAGAGUUUAAGAGACGUAAUUGGAAUGUGAUGUGUAGCGGUGAAAUGCUUAGAUAUGUCACAGAACGCCGAUCGUGAAGACAGAUUACGAACUUAAUACAGACGCUCAAGCACGAAAGCGUGGGGAUCAAACAGGAUUAGAUACC
This 263-nucleotide ribosomal RNA is filed under the name uncultured bacterium. Its description in RNAcentral is "partial 16S ribosomal RNA". It matches the Rfam family "Bacterial small subunit ribosomal RNA", at positions 524 to 786 of the family's 1533-position model. The record is from RNAcentral.